CGCCGGCACUUCCCUACGGGUCCUAGCGCCCUCCAUCCCUGCUUCCUCCCUCCCUUCCCUUCUGGGGAAAUGGAUGAUCUGAGCCGGGAAACCAGAGCAGCCGAGGUGGCCCGGACGAUGGGGAAACUGAGGCCAAGAAAGGGCAAAUGAUUUACCCCAAGUACCUUACCAAAGAAAGAGAGAAAAGUGAAGAUUCAACAUAUACGUGUAUAUUUAGCUUGGUGAUGUAAGAGGAAGGACAUCAAGAACUGCAAAGGGAAGAAUAAGAUGAGACCCAACAAGGAUAAUAUUACACAAAGAGACAAAAGGAAGUUGAUAAGACUGGGAAGUGGGAGAAAAAAAUAGACAAGUUCUGUGAGAAGUACAUCGACGUGUAAACUA
This is a long non-coding RNA of Vombatus ursinus (common wombat), 381 nucleotides long. RefSeq lists it as uncharacterized. The record is from RefSeq and is a predicted model, not a curated record. NCBI's taxonomy places the organism in Eukaryota, Metazoa, Chordata, Mammalia, Diprotodontia, Vombatidae. The transcript has 3 exons.